This is a non-coding RNA of Python bivittatus (Burmese python), 1510 nucleotides long. NCBI's taxonomy places the organism in Eukaryota, Metazoa, Chordata, Lepidosauria, Squamata, Pythonidae. The record is from RefSeq and is a predicted model, not a curated record.
GGCGGGAUCAAGCCGGAAGUUGGCUCCCUUUCACUUCCUGCUUCCGGUCGGCGGUUUUUUCUGACAACGACAUCCAGUUUUGUUGUGUAGCUAAACUGGAGUUUCUUGGCCUCUUGGUUCUCACUCUGGAUACAUUCCUGAAACAAAUACAACAACAUAUUGAACUGACUGAAAGAAACAGUGAAUGCUAAGGAGGUCCACCUUGCCUGAAUGGUCCUGGCCCCUUUAACACUGGAACAUCUUGGUUCAGAAGAUGAACCAGAAGGUGGAGCAGAAAAUGCUGUAGCGAAGAUUUCUCCCUAGAUGGAAUAAGCUACAACCAAGUAAGAGAAAUGCUAAGCAGACUUACAAAGACACAUAGGAAGAUGAAUCUCCACAAGGGCAGUACUGGGACUGGUUACAUAAUUCCCAGGUGGCACAGUAUCUUUUCGGGAGUAUCACAGUGUUCAUCCUUAUGUGUUUUAACAUUCCCCCCUCUGCAGUUCUCAGAUAGAUGUAAGAACAUUCUGUUCAGUGACUCUGCCCGUGAGGGAAGUAAGUGAUGCAAACAUGGUCCACAUUUUUCUAUGCUGCCUCUUCUGUAUGGCCAUUCACAGCAUCAGGACAGGCUGUGACAAUAAAACUUUCCAAGUGUUCCAGAUGUAAACAUUCCACUAAGAGAUAAAGACUCCAAGUUCUCCUGGUCAAUAGUAAAAUUCUGUUUGGCAAUUGCUAAAUAUGGCACUGUUGCAAGGCAAACCAAAAUGUAGGAAGUAAGAAAUCAGUGCUCUUUUCUUUUAUUAUUGUAUCUUACAUUGAUCUGAGGACAUGUAUCUUUUACUUUGUAUUACUAUUUGAAGUACUGUAGUAUGAGAAUCUUUGAUGCUAGUCUGUACCCUUAAUAAAGUUUAUUGUUCCUUUAUUUAUCCUAUUGUUUUGAAAACUGACCAUAAGAUUAGAAAAUAUUAUUUCAUACAUUUGCAUCUCAUCUUUCCUCUAAAGCUAAGAUGGGAAUCUGCAGUACACUAAGUAAUUAAAAUAUGGAUGUAACAACAUCCAGGGACUUCUAGGCCUGCUUUAAAGCCAAGAGGUGAGUGCAAAACGUUGUUUGAAGUCACCAAAAGAAAUUUAGAUUAUGAAAAUGGCAGGAGAACUGUUGUGGAAAAAAAGGACCUAACUUCUGCUUUAGUCAGAAAUAUACAAGAUAAUAUACUUGUAUAAACCUCACUGUAAGGCUGACAAGCCUCCAAACAUGUUGGUUGGCACUGUUGAGCUUAUGAGAAUAUAGUAGUUUGUCAAUUCUUGUACAGGUAGUCCUUGCUUAUCAACUGCCUUGUUUAGCAACUAUUCAAAGUAACAACGGUGUUAAAACCAGCUCUGCAACGAAUCCUCACAUUUAUGACCAUCACAGCAUCCCAAGGUCACCAUUUGCAUGCUUCCCAACCAGCUUGCGACAGCAGUUAACGGAAAAUGCGGAAGUAAAAUUGUAGGUCAUGGUCAUGUGGUGUUUCACUUAAUGACUGCGGUGACU